GGAGUGAUGGGGGCUGGGCUGGGGGAGCCUCUCAUUAACAUUCUUACAUCAGGGCUCCUCCCCGCACCCCUACCUUCCCACCCUUCCCGGGUCCCUAACCCCAACAGCUCCCAGCUACCCCUCGGCCUUGGCCUUAAAGCCGCAGUCGCCCUCGUCCGCACCGGCGGGAGCCCCCACCACACCGCACCACCCCUGGGGUCCGCCGCCUUACCCUGGCCGCGCACGCGGCAGCGCUUUCCCCAGCUCCAGGCUUUACACAGGGAAAUGUGUUUGAUAGUAAAGAAGUGCGCACAGGCACACACAAACCAUGCAAAAAAUAACUGGAUUAGAGGAAGGGGGUGGUCCUAGAAAUUUGUAGUUUCGUUGCAGAACUCCGUAGGUCCCGCUCGCUCUCACCUCUUUCUCACUCCGGCCAAAUUCCCUCCUGACGCGCCAACUCGGGGCGGGCACCGACCUUCCUGGUCCCUUGGCGCAAGGUCAGGGAACAGGGACCAAGGUCCCAGGGCAGACGGCUCGAUCGAGGACCCAGAACUCCCAGCUAGCCGAGGCGUUACUUACACCCCUCCCUACCCCGCUUUCCCCUGCUACGCGCCCGCGUCCUCCCCCUGGGCCACGCGGGUUCGCGCGGGAGUCGUAGCGUUUCCAGGAUUCCAGUGUCCCCGCGCAAAGCCCCUCAGCCGGCGCGCUGCAAGCAGAAAAGCGAAACUUGUUGCUCCCAAAGGCGAGCGAAGAGUUCCGCUUCUCGAAGUGGCGAAUAGUUUGAAGAGCAUCUCCGAAGCGUCCUCAGGGUUUUGUUUGCCAAACCAGCGCGCGACACCCUGUGCUCCGGGUUCUGCACUGCCGAGAGAGGUCCUGUGUCGGAGACCUAGGCUUGCCACUGGUCACAGCCACAACGGCAGUGGGGACAAGGAUGGAAACGGCGGUGAAGUCCGCGGCCAGAGGAGCCUCGCGGAAGUCCGCCGCGCUUCAGGGCAGGUCCAAAUGGAACUUGACCCGCUGAAAGUGACAACACGCCGAGGUCAUUUGCAGUGUGAACGUGCUACAUUGGACUGGGGAAUUCUGAUACUUAAAGGCCACAAAUUAAAAUAAGAUGUCCUGAGACAAAGUGACGUUAGAAAGACUUCUGAAAAACAUACAACUGGUCUGAUUUAACCUGAGUACUGACAUGUUUCCUAGGAUUUGCAAGCCACAUGAAGAAUUCUCCUAUUAUUGAUUUAGAGGUAAGUUAUUUAAUGUAGAGUAUCUCAUUCA
Molecule: long non-coding RNA, 1251 nt
Filed under: Lynx canadensis (Canada lynx)
Lineage: Eukaryota; Metazoa; Chordata; Mammalia; Carnivora; Felidae
Description: lncRNA (ENSLCNG00005004923.1)
Source: RNAcentral